CAAUAGCGUAUAUUAAAGUUGUUGCAGUUAAAAAGCUCGUAGUUGAACUUCGGAACCGGUCGAUUGGUCCGUCCUCUGGAUUGUGUACUGAUCGAUCUGUUCUUCUUCGCGAAGACCGCGUGUGCCCUUAACUGGGUGUGCACGGGAUUCACGACGUUUACUUGAAAAAAUUAGAGUGUUCAAAGCAGGCAUUCGCUUGAAUAUCUCAGCAUGGAAUAAUAGAAUAGGACUUUGGUCUUAUUUUGUUGGUUUCCGAGACCGAAGUAAUGAUAAUAGGGAUAGUUGGGGGCAUUAGUACUUAACUGUCAGAGGUGAAAUUCUUGGAUUUGUUAAAGACUAACUUAUGCGAAAGCAUUUGCCAAGGAUGUUUUCAUUAAUCAAGAACGAAAGUUAGGGGAUCAAAGAUGAUCAGAUACCA
This 418-nucleotide ribosomal RNA is filed under the name uncultured eukaryote. RNAcentral's name for it is "SSU rRNA". It matches the Rfam family "Eukaryotic small subunit ribosomal RNA", at positions 592 to 1017 of the family's 1831-position model. The record is from RNAcentral.